UACGUAGGGCGCAAGCGUUAUCCGGAAUUAUUGGGCGUAAAGAGCUCGUAGGCGGUUUGUCGCGUCUGCCGUGAAAGUCCGGGGCUCAACUCCGGAUCUGCGGUGGGUACGGGCAGACUAGAGUGAUGUAGGGGGAGACUGGAAUUCCUGGUGUAGCGGUGAAAUGCGCAGAUAUCAGGAGGAACACCGAUGGCGAAGGCAGGUCUCUGGGCAUUACCUGACGCUGAGGAGCGAAAGUGUGGGGAGCGAACAGG
Molecule: ribosomal RNA, 254 nt
Filed under: uncultured bacterium
Lineage: Bacteria
Description: partial 16S ribosomal RNA
Rfam family: Bacterial small subunit ribosomal RNA
Source: RNAcentral